RNAcentral lists this ribosomal RNA (468 nucleotides) under uncultured bacterium. RNAcentral describes it as "partial 16S ribosomal RNA". It matches the Rfam family "Bacterial small subunit ribosomal RNA", at positions 28 to 507 of the family's 1533-position model. The record is from RNAcentral.
GACGAACGCUGGCGGCGUGCUUAACACAUGCAAGUCGAACGGAAAGGCCCUGCUUUUGUGGGGUGCUCGAGUGGCGAACGGGUGAGUAACACGUGAGUAACCUGCCCUUGACUUUGGGAUAACUUCAGGAAACUGGGGCUAAUACCGGAUAGGAGCUCCUGCUGCAUGGUGGGGGUUGGAAAGUUUCGGCGGUUGGGGAUGGACUCGCGGCUUAUCAGCUUGUUGGUGGGGUAGUGGCUUACCAAGGCUUUGACGGGUAGCCGGCCUGAGAGGGUGACCGGCCACAUUGGGACUGAGAUACGGCCCAGACUCCUACGUGAGGCAGCAGUGGGGAAUAUUGCACAAUGAGCGGAAGCCUGAUGCAGCAACGCCGCGUGCGGGAUGACGGCCUUCGGGUUGUAAACCGCUUUCGCCUGUGACGAAGCGUGAGUGACGGUAAUGGGUAAAGAAGCACCGGCUAACUACGUG